AACGCGAAGAACCUUACCUGGCCUUGACAUGCUGGUAGUAGAAGCCGGAAACGGUGACGACUCCUCGCAAGAGGAGAGCCAGCACAGGUGCUGCAUGGUUGUCGUCAGCUCGUGUCGUGAGAUGUUGGCUUAAGUCCCGCAACGAGCGCAACCCCUGUGUCCUGUUGCCACUCCCGAGAAAUCGGGAAGCACUCUGGACAGACUGCCUCGCUUCAACGAGGAGGAAGGUGGGGAUGACGUCAAGUCAGUAUGGCCCUUACGGCCAGGGCUGCACACGUACUACAAUGCACGGUACAAAGGGAAGCAAGAGCGUAAGCUGGAGCAAAUCCCCCAAAACCGUGCCCAGUUCAGAUUGUCGUCUGCAACUCGACGGCAUGAAGCUGGAAUCGCUAGUAAUGGCGCAUCAGCUACGGCGCCGUGAAUACGUUCCCGGGCCUUGUACACACCGAGUAUA
Molecule: ribosomal RNA, 454 nt
Filed under: uncultured bacterium
Lineage: Bacteria
Description: bacterial SSU rRNA
Rfam family: Bacterial small subunit ribosomal RNA
Source: RNAcentral